UCUGAAGAGAUUUGAUAUAUUCACAGGAUAAAAACUGACCAAGAGGGUAACAUACCCAAAGAAGAUCGACAUCAGUCCGUACACCUCGAGUGGCAGUGAAGCCAUCAAAUACCAGUUAUAUGGUGUGCUCGUGCACAGUGGCUCAUCUUGCCAAAGUGGACACUACUAUGCCUAUGUACAGGCUAGUCACGGUUGGUACCUGAUGAAUGAUUCACAGGUAACCCCAUGU
This is a long non-coding RNA of Nanorana parkeri, 229 nucleotides long. RefSeq lists it as uncharacterized. The record is from RefSeq and is a predicted model, not a curated record. The transcript has 3 exons. NCBI's taxonomy places the organism in Eukaryota, Metazoa, Chordata, Amphibia, Anura, Dicroglossidae.